UUGGGAAUAUUGCGCAAUGGGGGAAACCCUGACGCAGCGACGCCGCGUGUGGGAUGAAGGUCUUCGGAUUGUAAACCACUGUCGCGAGGGACGAAGCUCUGACGGUACCUCGAAAGGAAGCACCGGCUAACUCUGUGCCAGCAGCCGCGGUAAUACAGAGGGUGCGAGCGUUGUCCGGAAUCACUGGGCGUAAAGGGCGCGUAGGCGGCCCGGUAAGUAGGGGGUGAAAUCUCAUGGCUCAACUGUGAGGCUGCCUUCUAGACUGCCAGGCUUGAGCACAGUAGAGGCGAGUGGAAUUCCCGGUGUAGCGGUGGAAUGCGUAGAGAUCGGGAAGAACAUCGGUGGCGAAGGCGGCUCGCUGGGCUGUUGCUGACGCUGAGGCGCGAAAGCGUGGGGAGCAAACAGGAUUAGAUACCCAAGUAGUCCCUGAGCGGGCUGGCAAGGCGCAU
RNAcentral lists this ribosomal RNA (449 nucleotides) under uncultured bacterium. RNAcentral describes it as "bacterial SSU rRNA". It matches the Rfam family "Bacterial small subunit ribosomal RNA", at positions 355 to 825 of the family's 1533-position model. The record is from RNAcentral.